This 26-nucleotide non-coding RNA is filed under the name Homo sapiens (human). Lineage: Eukaryota; Metazoa; Chordata; Mammalia; Primates; Hominidae. The record is from RNAcentral.
UGCUUGCUGUGCACUAUGACUCACCG